UCCCAACGGGAAAAGCUGCCAAAAAGGUUGUUUAAUUAUGCGCUGAUGUCUUCUGUAGAUACAGUCCAUAUGUUUGCUGGUUUGCAUAGGGAGACAUCAGCGUAGGGUGGCUGUAUGGUUUCGGACUUGACUUUGUAACCUGUUCUCUGUAGUUAAUAAACUAUGGAUGUGGGAGUUUCGUGAUGAUUACUAACAUCAUGACGUCGUCACAUACCGGAUUGACAGGCAUCGGUGGACGGGCCACCGUCACUUAACCCAGAACAGGAGUGACACUCCGUGUGUCCACUCGAAAACUAGCCAAAUGCCUCGUCAUCUAAUUAGUGACGCGCAUGAAUGGAUGAACGAGAUUCCCACUGUCCCUACCUACUAUCCAGAGAAACCACAGCCAAGGGAACGGGCUUGGCGGAAUCAGCGGGGAAAGAAGACCCUGUUGAGCUUGACUCUAGUCUGGCGCUGUGAAGAGACAUGAGAGGUGUAGAAUAAGUGGGAGGCCGGGCGCGCGCUCGGCGCGGCGGGGCGACCCGCCCGCCGGCGGCCCGGCCGGCGGGGGAAUAACACCAAUCUGGUCAAAAAAAAUCUCGCUGCUGGCGCCAAGCGCCCGGCGCGUGCCGGGCACGACCCGCUCCGGGGACAGCGGCAGGUGGAGGGUUUGACUGGGGCGGUACACCUGUCAAAGCG
RNAcentral lists this non-coding RNA (678 nucleotides) under Mesitornis unicolor (brown roatelo). RNAcentral describes it as "Eukaryotic large subunit ribosomal RNA". It matches the Rfam family "Eukaryotic large subunit ribosomal RNA", at positions 2207 to 2649 of the family's 3401-position model. Lineage: Eukaryota; Metazoa; Chordata; Aves; Mesitornithiformes; Mesitornithidae. The record is from Rfam by way of RNAcentral.